RNAcentral lists this ribosomal RNA (545 nucleotides) under uncultured bacterium. RNAcentral describes it as "bacterial SSU rRNA". It matches the Rfam family "Bacterial small subunit ribosomal RNA", at positions 358 to 917 of the family's 1533-position model. The record is from RNAcentral.
GGAAUUUUCCGCAAUGGGCGAAAGCCUGACGGAGCAACGCCGCGUGAGGGAUGAAGGCCUCUGGGCUGUAAACCUCUUUUAUCAAGGAAGAAGAUCUGACGGUACUUGAUGAAUAAGCCACGGCUAAUUCCGUGCCAGCAGCCGCGGUAAUACGGGAGUGGCAAGCGUUAUCCGGAAUUAUUGGGCGUAAAGCGUCCGCAGGCGGUCUUUUAAGUCUGUCGUCAAAGCGUGGAGCUUAACUCCAUUUCUGCGAUGGAAACUGGGAGACUAGAGUGUGGUAGGGGCAGAGGGAAUUCCCGGUGUAGCGGUGAGAUGCGUAGAUAUCGGGAAGAACACCAGUGGCGAAGGCGCUCUGCUGGGCCAUAACUGACGCUCAUGGACGAAAGCCAGGGGAGCGAAGGGGAUUAGAUACCCCUGUAGUCCUGGCCGUAAACGAUGAACACUAGGUGUCGGGGGAAUCGACCCCCUCGGUGUCGUAGCCAACGCGUUAAGUGUUCCGCCCGGGGAGUACGCACGCAAGUGUGAAACUCAAAGGAAUUGACGGA